GCGUGUGAUGAACAAUGGGUCUGCUGAUUUGAUGAUGAUCCGUUGGAGCGCUGAUG
Molecule: small nucleolar RNA, 56 nt
Filed under: Methanoplanus limicola DSM 2279
Lineage: Archaea; Methanobacteriati; Methanobacteriota; Methanomicrobia; Methanomicrobiales; Methanomicrobiaceae
Description: Small nucleolar RNA sR3
Rfam family: Small nucleolar RNA sR3
Source: Rfam by way of RNAcentral